Molecule: ribosomal RNA, 433 nt
Filed under: uncultured bacterium
Lineage: Bacteria
Description: partial 16S ribosomal RNA
Rfam family: Bacterial small subunit ribosomal RNA
Source: RNAcentral
AGCGAACGCUGGCGGCAGGCCUAACACAUGCAAGUCGAACGGAACCUUCGGGAUUAGUGGCGGACGGGUGAGUAACACGUGGGAACGUGCCCUUUGGUUCGGAACAACUCAGGGAAACUUGAGCUAAUACCGGAUGUGCCCUUCGGGGGAAAGAUUUAUCGCCAUUGAAGCGGCCCGCGUCUGAUUAGCUAGUUGGUGAGGUAACGGCCCACCAAGGCGACGAUCAGUAGCUGGUCUGAGAGGCUGAUCAGCCACACUGGGACUGAGACACGGCCCAGACUCCUACGGGAAGCAGCAGUGGGGAAUCUUGCGCAAUGGGCGAAAGCCUGACGCAGCCAUGCCGCGUGAAUGAUGAAGGUCUUAGGAUUGUAAAAUUCUUUCAGCGGGGACGAUAAUGACGGUACCCGCAGAAGAAGCUCCGGCUAACUUCGUG